AAUCAACGCUGGCGGCGUGCCUCAGACAUGCAAGUCGAACGCGAAAGUUCCCUUCGGGGGAUGAGUAGAGUGGCGCACGGGUGAGUAACACGUAGGUAAUCUACCUUCGGAUGGGGAAUAACAACCGGAAACGGUUGCUAAUACCGCAUAAUGCAGCGGCACCUAAUGGUGACAGUUAGUUAAAGGCGGGGGAUACGAAAGACCUCGCGUCUGAAGAGGAGCCUGCGGCGGAUUAGCAGUUGGUAGGGUAACGGCCUACCAAGGCUACGAUCCGUA
RNAcentral lists this ribosomal RNA (276 nucleotides) under uncultured bacterium. Its description in RNAcentral is "partial 16S ribosomal RNA". It matches the Rfam family "Bacterial small subunit ribosomal RNA", at positions 32 to 285 of the family's 1533-position model. The record is from RNAcentral.